This 1542-nucleotide ribosomal RNA is filed under the name Escherichia coli. RNAcentral describes it as "bacterial SSU rRNA". It matches the Rfam family "Bacterial small subunit ribosomal RNA". Lineage: Bacteria; Pseudomonadati; Pseudomonadota; Gammaproteobacteria; Enterobacterales; Enterobacteriaceae. The record is from RNAcentral.
AAAUUGAAGAGUUUGAUCAUGGCUCAGAUUGAACGCUGGCGGCAGGCCUAACACAUGCAAGUCGAACGGUAACAGAAAGCAGCUUGCUGCUUUGCUGACGAGUGGCGGACGGGUGAGUAAUGUCUGGGAAACUGCCUGAUGGAGGGGGAUAACUACUGGAAACGGUAGCUAAUACCGCAUAACGUCGCAAGACCAAAGAGGGGGACCUUCGGGCCUCUUGCCAUCGGAUGUGCCCAGAUGGGAUUAGCUUGUUGGUGGGGUAACGGCUCACCAAGGCGACGAUCCCUAGCUGGUCUGAGAGGAUGACCAGCCACACUGGAACUGAGACACGGUCCAGACUCCUACGGGAGGCAGCAGUGGGGAAUAUUGCACAAUGGGCGCAAGCCUGAUGCAGCCAUGCCGCGUGUAUGAAGAAGGCCUUCGGGUUGUAAAGUACUUUCAGCGGGGAGGAAGGGAGUAAAGUUAAUACCUUUGCUCAUUGACGUUACCCGCAGAAGAAGCACCGGCUAACUCCGUGCCAGCAGCCGCGGUAAUACGGAGGGUGCAAGCGUUAAUCGGAAUUACUGGGCGUAAAGCGCACGCAGGCGGUUUGUUAAGUCAGAUGUGAAAUCCCCGGGCUCAACCUGGGAACUGCAUCUGAUACUGGCAAGCUUGAGUCUCGUAGAGGGGGGUAGAAUUCCAGGUGUAGCGGUGAAAUGCGUAGAGAUCUGGAGGAAUACCGGUGGCGAAGGCGGCCCCCUGGACGAAGACUGACGCUCAGGUGCGAAAGCGUGGGGAGCAAACAGGAUUAGAUACCCUGGUAGUCCACGCCGUAAACGAUGUCGACUUGGAGGUUGUGCCCUUGAGGCGUGGCUUCCGGAGCUAACGCGUUAAGUCGACCGCCUGGGGAGUACGGCCGCAAGGUUAAAACUCAAAUGAAUUGACGGGGGCCCGCACAAGCGGUGGAGCAUGUGGUUUAAUUCGAUGCAACGCGAAGAACCUUACCUGGUCUUGACAUCCACAGAACCUUGUAGAGAUACGAGGGUGCCUUCGGGAACUGUAAGACAGGUGCUGCAUGGCUGUCGUCAGCUCGUGUUGUGAAAUGUUGGGUUAAGUCCCGCAACGAGCGCAACCCUUAUCCUUUGUUGCCAGCGGUCCGGCCGGGAACUCAAAGGAGACUGCCAGUGAUAAACUGGAGGAAGGUGGGGAUGACGUCAAGUCAUCAUGGCCCUUACGACCAGGGCUACACACGUGCUACAAUGGCGCAUACAAAGAGAAGCGACCUCGCGAGAGCAAGCGGACCUCAUAAAGUGCGUCGUAGUCCGGAUUGGAGUCUGCAACUCGACUCCAUGAAGUCGGAAUCGCUAGUAAUCGUGGAUCAGAAUGCCACGGUGAAUACGUUCCCGGGCCUUGUACACACCGCCCGUCACACCAUGGGAGUGGGUUGCAAAAGAAGUAGGUAGCUUAACCUUCGGGAGGGCGCUUACCACUUUGUGAUUCAUGACUGGGGUGAAGUCGUAACAAGGUAACCGUAGGGGAACCUGCGGUUGGAUCACCUCCUUA